This 492-nucleotide ribosomal RNA is filed under the name uncultured bacterium. Its description in RNAcentral is "partial 16S ribosomal RNA". It matches the Rfam family "Bacterial small subunit ribosomal RNA", at positions 29 to 507 of the family's 1533-position model. The record is from RNAcentral.
AGUGAACGCUGGCGGUAGGCCUAACACAUGCAAGUCGAACGGCAGCACAGUAAGAGCUUGCUCUUACGGGUGGCGAGUGGCGGACGGGUGAGGAAUACAUCGGAAUCUACUUUUUCGUGGGGGAUAACGUAGGGAAACUUACGUUAAUACCGCAUACGACCUACGGGUGAAAGCAGGGGAUCUUCGGACCUUGCGCGAUUGCAUGAGCCGAUGUCGGAUUAGCUAGUUGGCGGGGUAAAGGCCCACCAAGGCGACGAUCCGUAGCUGGUCUGAGAGGAUGAUCAGCCACACUGGAACUGAGACACGGUCCAGACUCCUACGGGAGGCAGCAGUGGGGAAUAUUGGACAAUGGGCGCAAGCCUGAUCCAGCCAUACCGCGUGGGUGAAGAAGGCCUUCGGGUUGUAAAGCCCUUUUGUUGGGAAAGAAAAGCAGCAGGUUAAUACCCCGCUGUUCUGACGGUACCCAAAGAAUAAGCACCGGCUAACUUCGUG